GAUAUUCUUGGCUUCAUGAAUUGAACCGACUGGCCGGCCAGGGCUUUACCACCAUGCAAGUCGAGGCGGGAGGAGAGGUAGCUUGCUACCUGAUCUUAAGCCGGCCGAACGGGUGAGUAAUUGCUUAAGGAAUCUGCCUAUUAGUGGGGGACAACAUUUCGAAAGGAAAUGCUAAUACCGCAUACGUCCUACGGGAGAAAGCAGGGGAUCUUCGGACCCUUGCGCUAAAUAGAUGAGCUAAGUCGGAUUAGCUAGUUGGUGGGGUAAAGGCCUACCCAAGGCGACGAUCUGUAGCGGGUCUGAGAGGAUGAUCCGCCACACUGGGACUGAGACACGGCCCAGACUCCUACGGGAGGCAGCAGUGGGGAAUAUUGGACAAUGGGCGCAAGCCUGAUCCAGCCAUGCCGCGUGUGUGAAGAAGGCCUUAUGGUUGUAAAGCACUUUAAGCGAGGAGGAGGCUACUUUAGUUAAUACCUAGAGAUAGUGGACGUUACUCGCAGAAUAAGCACCGGCUAACUCUGUGCCAGCAGCCGCGGUAAUACAGAGGGUGCAAGCGUUAAUCGGAUUUACUGGGCGUAAAGCGCGCGUAGGCGGCUAAUUAAGUCAAAUGUGAAAUCCCCGAGCUUAACUUGGGAAUUGCAUUCGAUACUGGUUAGCUAGAGUGUGGGAGAGGAUGGUAGAAUUCCAGGUGUAGCGGUGAAAUGCGUAGAGAUCUGGAGGAAUACCGAUGGCGAGCAGCCAUCUGGCCUAACACUGACGCUGAGGUGCGAAAGCAUGGGGAGCAAACAGGAUUAGAUACCCUGGUAGUCCAUGCCGUAAACGAUGUCUACUAGCCGUUGGGGCCUUUGAGGCUUUAGUGGCGCAGCUAACGCGAUAAGUAGACCGCCUGGGGAGUACGGUCGCAAGACUAAAACUCAAAUGAAUUGACGGGGGCCCGCACAAGCGGUGGAGCAUGUGGUUUAAUUCGAUGCAACGCGAAGAACCUUACCUGGCCUUGACAUAGUAAGAACUUUCCAGAGAUGGAUUGGUGCCUUCGGGAACUUACAUACAGGUGCUGCAUGGCUGUCGUCAGCUCGUGUCGUGAGAUGUUGGGUUAAGUCCCGCAACGAGCGCAACCCUUUUCCUUAUUUGCCAGCGAGUAAUGUCGGGAACUUUAAGGAUACUGCCAGUGACAAACUGGAGGAAGGCGGGGACGACGUCAAGUCAUCAUGGGCCCUUACGGCCAGGGCUACACACGUGCUACAAUGGUCGGUACAAAGGGUUGCUACCCUAGCGAUAGGAUGCUAAUCUCAAAAAGCCGAUCGUAGUCCGGAUUGGAGUCUGCAACUCGACUCCAUGAAGUCGGAAUCGCUAGUAAUCGCGGAUCAGAAUGCCGCGGUGAAUACGUUUCCCGGGCCUUGUACACACCGCCCGUCACACCAUGGGAGUUUGUUUGCACCAGAAGUAGCUAGCCUAACUGCAAGAGGGCGGUUUACCACGUGUGGCCGAUGACUGGGGUGAAGUCGUACAGGGGUA
RNAcentral lists this ribosomal RNA (1515 nucleotides) under Acinetobacter sp. Its description in RNAcentral is "bacterial SSU rRNA". It matches the Rfam family "Bacterial small subunit ribosomal RNA". The record is from RNAcentral. Lineage: Bacteria; Pseudomonadati; Pseudomonadota; Gammaproteobacteria; Moraxellales; Moraxellaceae.